Molecule: long non-coding RNA, 1266 nt
Filed under: Apteryx rowi (Okarito brown kiwi)
Lineage: Eukaryota; Metazoa; Chordata; Aves; Apterygiformes; Apterygidae
Description: lncRNA (ENSARWG00000016474.1)
Source: RNAcentral
CAAGGAGGGGAGCGCCACCUUAGGGGGACCAGGGCUUGUGGACGGGGGGACAGGGCUCCUCGCUUUCCCCAGGGUCCCCGGGGCAGAGCUGCCCUGGGAAUAAUCUGCUUUCUCAGGAGCACCAGGAGACUCCCAGCAGCUCGGCACAGCACAGCUCAACUCUAUACAGCAUGGCACGGCACAGCUGGUACGGCACAGCUUGGCACAGCCCGGCACAGCUCGGCACGGCCCGGCACGGCCUGGCCUGGCUUGGCCCAGCACGGCUCAGCGCUGCACAGCUUGGCCUGGCUUGGCCUGGCUCAGGCCCGGGGGUCAGCGGGACCCACCCCAGGUGUACGGGGGCUGGGACAGCACUGCUGGGCUCGCUGCCCCCACCCAGCUGCCUUCCCCCGUGCGGCUCACAUGGGGCACGAGUUUGCUGGUUCUCAGUGCAGCUCUCUCUCUGCCCCCCACAAGCCCUGCCCCGGGGGGUGUCAGAGAUGCCGGGUGCAUGUGGCAGAUGUGACCCCCUGUUCUCACACCAAGGGCGCCCAGGCUCCCCCGCGCUGUCGGCGCAGAGCCGCUCCCCAUCACAGCAGCAGCCCCGCACAAGGCCCCAUGCCGCCGGGUGCUGUGCCUGGCACAGGCCUGCGCCACCUCGCCCCCCUGCCCACCGGACCCCGGCAGCCUCAGAUGCUCCACAUGGGUCCGAUGGCCCCCAGCCUGCGGGGGAGCCCUUCCCACCGGGGUCCGUGCACGGGAUCCCGCUCUGCCCUUCUGCUCGCUCCUGCCACGGCGGGCAAGUCCUGCCCGGUGGGACUUUGCCCCAGCCAGCUGGAUCCACAGGUUGCCCCACAACCCGCUGGCGGCCCCAUUUCCAACCAGCCAGCACCUCCGAGGGGGAUGUCGUGCCCAGGGCGAGAGGUGGCGCAUGUCCCCCUGCACAGCCGCCCUGGGGACAAGGGGCUGGGGGGACACAGGGACAGCCCCCAGCCCRGCCCCCCAAACAGACCCCCAUCUGCUCCAGCAAACUCGGCAGCACGGCACCAUACCUCAUGGGGGCAAAACCCAUGGGGCACAGCCUGCCCCGCGGCUCGGGAACCGGACCCCCCCAUCCCCAGGCCCCAUCCAUGCCACCCCCUCUGGGACACUCAGUCCAGUACUGGGACCCAUGGGCUGUCACCUCCCAGAGGGGGACGGGAUUGGAGGGAUUGAGGUGGUGACUGAGGGGCAGGGGGUCAGGGAAGGAUCGGGGGGAUCCNNNNNNNNNNNNNNNNNNNNNNNNNN